Molecule: ribosomal RNA, 116 nt
Filed under: Cronobacter sakazakii
Lineage: Bacteria; Pseudomonadati; Pseudomonadota; Gammaproteobacteria; Enterobacterales; Enterobacteriaceae
Source: RNAcentral
UCUGGCGGCUGUAGCGCGGUGGUCCCACCUGACCCCAUGCCGAACUCAGAAGUGAAACGCCGUAGCGCCGAUGGUAGUAUGGGGCCUCCCCAUGCGAGAGUAGGGAACUGCCAGAC